Molecule: long non-coding RNA, 296 nt
Organism: Triplophysa dalaica
Lineage: Eukaryota; Metazoa; Chordata; Actinopteri; Cypriniformes; Nemacheilidae
Exons: 3
Source: RefSeq, a predicted model, not a curated record
GAAAGGCAAUGAGCACUACCUAUUCAAGCAUCGGAUACCACUUGAAAAAGUGUCUGCGAUAACUAUUAGUGGUCAUGUGAUUCUGAACCUUUUUGCCUUUGUACAAAAGUGGAGCACAUCUAUAUUUGCUACGCAAGUGAAGAGGGGCUUCUUGAGCUGGACGCCUUCCACCAUACAUUCGCAGCUCUCACUACCUAUCCAAACUCCUGCCCUUCCUUAUGUGGGUCCGAUUUCCGGGGGACUGAAAGCAGGAUUGGCUUUGUACCUGCAGGGAGUUGUUGGUAGUAAAGGUCCCG